AACGAACGCUGGCGGCAGGCCUAACACAUGCAAGUCGAACGCCCCGCAAGGGGAGUGGCAGACGGGUGAGUAACACGUGGGAACGUACCCUUUGGUUCGGAAUAACUUGGGGAAACUCAAGCUAAUACCGGAUAAGCCCUUAUGGGGAAAGGUUUACUGCCGAAGGAUCGGCCCGCGUCUGAUUAGCUAGUUGGUGAGGUAAUGGCUCACCAAGGCGACGAUCAGUAGCUGGUCUGAGAGGAUGAUCAGCCACACUGGGACUGAGACACGGCCCAGACUCCUACGGGAGGCAGCAGUGGGGAAUAUUGGACAAUGGGGGCAACCCUGAUCCAGCCAUGCCGCGUGAGUGAUGAAGGCCUUAGGGUUGUAAAGCUCUUUUACCCGGGACGAUAAUGACUGUACCGGGAGAAUAAGCCCCGGCUAACUUCGUGCCAGCCGCCGCCGUAA
This 447-nucleotide ribosomal RNA is filed under the name uncultured bacterium. RNAcentral's name for it is "partial 16S ribosomal RNA". It matches the Rfam family "Bacterial small subunit ribosomal RNA", at positions 29 to 523 of the family's 1533-position model. The record is from RNAcentral.